UAAGACGAACCGUGCGAACGUUGUUCGGAAUCACUGGGCUUAAAGGGCGCGUAGGCGGGCGAGCAAGUCCGGGGUGAAAUCUUUCGGCUUAACCGGAAAAGUGCCUUGGAUACUGCUUGUCUUGAGGGAGGUAGGGGCCUGUGGAACUUCUGGUGGAGCGGUGAAAUGCGUUGAUAUCAGAAGGAACGCCGGUGGCGAAAGCGACAGGCUGGCCCUCUUCUGACGCUGAGGCGCGAAAGCUAGGGGAGCAAACGGGAUUAGAUACCCCGGUAGUCCUAGCCCUAAACGAUGGGUACUAGGUAGUGGGCCAGACAUGGGCUCACUGCCGAAGCAAAAGUGUUAAGUACCCCGCCUGGGGAGUAUGGUCGCAAGGCUG
Molecule: ribosomal RNA, 376 nt
Filed under: uncultured bacterium
Lineage: Bacteria
Description: bacterial SSU rRNA
Rfam family: Bacterial small subunit ribosomal RNA
Source: RNAcentral